This 98-nucleotide small RNA is filed under the name Epilithonimonas lactis. Its description in RNAcentral is "Chryseobacterium halperniae Flavo-1 RNA". The record is from RNAcentral. Lineage: Bacteria; Pseudomonadati; Bacteroidota; Flavobacteriia; Flavobacteriales; Weeksellaceae.
UUUUAUCCAGAAACUUGCAGCCCGACUUGAGUGGAAAUCCUUUUUUGUGGCAGGAAAAGCUAAGGCAAAAAGAUUGGGAACGGAAGGCGGAAAUAGCU